GACGUAGGGCGCGAGCGUUGUCCGGAUUUAUUGGGCGUAAAGAGUUCGUAGGCGGCUUGUCGCGUCGACCGUGAAACCUCACAGCUCAACUGUGAGCCUGCGGUCGAUACGGGCAGGCUAGAGUUCGGUAGGGGAGACUGGAAUUCUUGGUGUAGCGGUGAAAUGCGUAGAUAUCAGGAGGAAUACCGAUGGCGAAGGCAGGUCUCUGGGCCUUACCUGACGCUGAGGCGCGAAAGCUAGGGGAGCGAACCGG
Molecule: ribosomal RNA, 253 nt
Filed under: uncultured bacterium
Lineage: Bacteria
Description: partial 16S ribosomal RNA
Rfam family: Bacterial small subunit ribosomal RNA
Source: RNAcentral